Long non-coding RNA from Phalaenopsis equestris, 265 nucleotides. RefSeq lists it as uncharacterized. The record is from RefSeq and is a predicted model, not a curated record. NCBI's taxonomy places the organism in Eukaryota, Viridiplantae, Streptophyta, Magnoliopsida, Asparagales, Orchidaceae. The transcript has 3 exons.
CUUGGAGGGCCGGGCUGCUCGGGUAUCAAUGGCCUCGCCUUGGACAUGGGGCCUCUCAGAUUCAAGAUUGAUGAUUUUGAUGGCCAACUGCCCAAUUUAUAUGCUAAUCCUUUCGCUUGGACAAAGAUUUCAAACAUGAUCUUUGUGGAUUGGCCUAUUGGUACUGGAUUCUCUUACUCAAAAACUGCGAAAGAUUAUACCACCGAAGAUGUUGAGGGGACUGCGUUUAUCUGCAAGUUUCUUAGGAAGGUAAGGUGAUAAAAUG